Molecule: ribosomal RNA, 477 nt
Filed under: uncultured bacterium
Lineage: Bacteria
Description: partial 16S ribosomal RNA
Rfam family: Bacterial small subunit ribosomal RNA
Source: RNAcentral
AGUGAACGCUGGCGGCGUGCCUAACACAUGCAAGUCGAACGAUGAUGGAGGAGCUUGCUCUUCCUGAUUAGUGGCGCACGGGUGAGUAAUGCAUAGAUAAUGUGCCCCUUAGUUCGGGAUAGCCACUGGAAACGGUGAUUAAUACCGGAUACUCCUUCAUAUCAUAAGAUAAGUCGGGAAAGUUUUUCGCUAAGGGAUCAGUCUAUGUUCCAUCAGUUAGUUGGUGAGGUAACGGCUCACCAAGACAAUGACGGAUAUCUGGUUUGAGAGGAUGAUCAGACACACUGGAACUGAGACACGGUCCAGACUCCUACGGGAGGCAGCAGUGAGGAAUAUUGCACAAUGGAGGAAACUCUGAUGCAGCAACGCCGCGUGGAGGAUGACGCAUUUCGGUGUGUAAACUCCUUUUAUUAGGGAAGAUUAUGACGGUACCUAAUGAAUAAGCACCGGCUAACUCCGUGCCAGCCGCCGCCGUAA